RNAcentral lists this ribosomal RNA (479 nucleotides) under uncultured bacterium. RNAcentral's name for it is "partial 16S ribosomal RNA". It matches the Rfam family "Bacterial small subunit ribosomal RNA", at positions 28 to 507 of the family's 1533-position model. The record is from RNAcentral.
GAUGAACGCUGGCGGCGUGCUUAACACAUGCAAGUCGAGCGAGAAGUUUUGAAAAGAUUCUUCGGAUGAAAUUUAAAAUGGAAAGCGGCGGACGGGUGAGUAACGCGUAGGCAACCUGCCCCAUACAAGGGGAUAGCAUUUGGAAACGAAUAUUAAUACCUUAUGAAACUUAACUAGUGCAUGCUAGGUAGGUCAAAGAUUUAUCGGUAUGGGAUGGGCCUGCGUCUGAUUAGCUAGUUGGUGAGGUAACGGCUCACCAAGGCGACGAUCAGUAGCCGACCUGAGAGGGUGAACGGCCACAUUGGAACUGAGACACGGUCCAAACUCCUACGGGAGGCAGCAGUGGGGAAUAUUGCACAAUGGGGGAAACCCUGAUGCAGCAACGCCGCGUGAACGAUGAAGGCCUUUGGGUCGUAAAGUUCUGUUCUAGGUGAUGAAAACUGACAGUAACCUAGGAGAAAGCCCCGGCUAACUCCGUG